UGGGGAAUCUUGGACAAUGGGCGCAAGCCUGAUCCAGCCAUGCCGCGUGAGUGAUGAAGGCCUUAGGGUCGUAAAGCUCUUUCGCCAGAGAUGAUAAUGACAGUAUCUGGUAAAGAAACCCCGGCUAACUCCGUG
RNAcentral lists this ribosomal RNA (135 nucleotides) under uncultured marine bacterium. RNAcentral's name for it is "partial 16S rRNA". It matches the Rfam family "Bacterial small subunit ribosomal RNA", at positions 355 to 507 of the family's 1533-position model. The record is from RNAcentral.